GAACGCUGGCGGCAGGCUUAACACAUGCAAGUCGAGCGGGGGAAGGUAGCUUGCUACCGGACCUAGCGGCGGACGGGUGAGUAAUGCUUAGGAAUCUGCCUAUUAGUGGGGGACAACAUCUCGAAAGGGAUGCUAAUACCGCAUACGUCCUACGGGAGAAAGCAGGGGAUCUUCGGACCUUGCGCUAAUAGAUGAGCCUAAGUCGGAUUAGCUAGUUGGUGGGGUAAAGGCCUACCAAGGCGACGAUCUGUAGCGGGUCUGAGAGGAUGAUCCGCCACACUGGGACUGAGACACGGCCCAGACUCCUACGGGAGGCAGCAGUGGGGAAUAUUGGACAAUGGGGGGAACCCUGAU
Molecule: ribosomal RNA, 354 nt
Filed under: Acinetobacter baumannii Naval-81
Lineage: Bacteria; Pseudomonadati; Pseudomonadota; Gammaproteobacteria; Moraxellales; Moraxellaceae
Description: bacterial SSU rRNA
Rfam family: Bacterial small subunit ribosomal RNA
Source: RNAcentral